RNAcentral lists this ribosomal RNA (503 nucleotides) under uncultured bacterium. RNAcentral's name for it is "bacterial SSU rRNA". It matches the Rfam family "Bacterial small subunit ribosomal RNA", at positions 29 to 529 of the family's 1533-position model. The record is from RNAcentral.
AGUGAACGCUGGCGGCAGGCCUAACACAUGCAAGUCGAGCGGCAGCGCGGGGGCAACCCUGGCGGCGAGCGGCGGACGGGUGAGGAAUGCAUCGGAAUCUACCUCGUUGUGGGGGAUAACCUCGGGAAACCGGGACUAAUACCGCAUACGACCUACGGGUGAAAGUGGGGGACCUUCGGGCCUCACGCGAUGAGAUGAGCCGAUGCCGGAUUAGCUAGUUGGCGGGUAAAGGCCCACAAGGCGACGAUCCGUAGCUGGUCUGAGAGGAUGAUCAGCCACACUGGAACUGAGACACGGUCCAGACUCCUACGGGAGGCAGCAGUGGGGAAUAUUGGACAAUGGGGGCAACCCUGAUCCAGCCAUGCCGCGUGUGUGAAGAAGGCCUUCGGGUUGUAAACCUUUCGUGCGGAAGAAUAGUCCUGUAGCGAAUAACUACGGGAUUUGACGGUACCGCAGGAAGAAGCACCGGCUAACUCCCGUGCCAGCAGCCGCGGUAAAAGUGU